RNAcentral lists this ribosomal RNA (517 nucleotides) under Rhodococcus sp. PDA17. RNAcentral describes it as "bacterial SSU rRNA". It matches the Rfam family "Bacterial small subunit ribosomal RNA", at positions 338 to 866 of the family's 1533-position model. Lineage: Bacteria; Bacillati; Actinomycetota; Actinomycetes; Mycobacteriales; Nocardiaceae. The record is from RNAcentral.
CCUACGGGAGGCAGCAGUGGGGAAUAUUGCACAAUGGGCGAAAGCCUGAUGCAGCGACGCCGCGUGAGGGAUGAAGGCCUUCGGGUUGUAAACCUCUUUCAGCAGGGACGAAGCGCAAGUGACGGUACCUGCAGAAGAAGCACCGGCUAACUACGUGCCAGCAGCCGCGGUAAUACGUAGGGUGCGAGCGUUGUCCGGAAUUACUGGGCGUAAAGAGUUCGUAGGCGGUUUGUCGCGUCGUUUGUGAAAACCCGGGGCUCAACUUCGGGCUUGCAGGCGAUACGGGCAGACUUGAGUGUUUCAGGGGAGACUGGAAUUCCUGGUGUAGCGGUGAAAUGCGCAGAUAUCAGGAGGAACACCGGUGGCGAAGGCGGGUCUCUGGGAAACAACUGACGCUGAGGAACGAAAGCGUGGGUAGCAAACAGGAUUAGAUACCCUGGUAGUCCACGCCGUAAACGGUGGGCGCUAGGUGUGGGUUCCUUCCACGGAAUCUGUGCCGUAGCUAACGCAUUAAGCG